GGCGACGUAGCUCAGAUGGUCAGAGCAUGCGGCUCAUAUCCGCAGGGUCCGGGGU
RNAcentral lists this transfer RNA (55 nucleotides) under Deltaproteobacteria bacterium RIFOXYC2_FULL_48_10. Its description in RNAcentral is "tRNA-Met". The record is from RNAcentral. Lineage: Bacteria; Deltaproteobacteria.